Molecule: long non-coding RNA, 815 nt
Organism: Mesocricetus auratus (golden hamster)
Lineage: Eukaryota; Metazoa; Chordata; Mammalia; Rodentia; Cricetidae
Exons: 2
Source: RefSeq, a predicted model, not a curated record
GGGCUCGGGGUUCAGACUGAAAAGGUUCCGUCCACGGUCACUUAGAGCCACGCACUUGAGCGGAACAUGCAUGACACAGCGGGCGUCUGUGGUGAUGAAUCUGGACACUAUGUUUAAGGAAGUCGUUGAAGUUAAAUGAGGUCACAAGGCAGAGGAAGACUCCUGCAGAGCACACGAACAGAAGGAAGGUCAUGUAAGGACAUUGUGAGAAAGCCUGUCUGCCAGCCAGGAAGAGACCCAUCAACAGACUCCAACCCUGCCCACCCCUUGACCUCAGACUUCCAGUCUCCAGAGCUCUGAGGCCCAAGUGUCAGCCGCUGGAGCCCCAGUCUGUGGGACCGCGUCAGCCGCCCUCCAGACGGAUGCAUUAUGUAACCUGCCGCUCCCAGGUCUGGGGAUAGUGACUUUGCUCCUCGGCUGGGCUGGCUCUGGAGCUGUCCUGGAGGCUGUUUCUGCAUCUCAUCACUGUAACACAGCACAGUGUGACAUGCAUGGGAGAGCCCCUCCCCAGCCUUGGCAAACAUAAAAGGCAGCGUGCUUGCAGCUCCCAAUGGGAAGCAGGCCAUCAAAAGGGCCGUAAUUUACAAGAUCGCUUCUAAAACCAUAAAUAAAACAAAAACAGAGUGUAGACGUGCAGCUCAAGAGCCAGAACACAUGCCUGACUUACGGGGGCCUGGAUGGAUAUUCUGUCUUCCCUUGUUUUGAUCCUUGGAGGUAACCGCUGAUACCAAAUCUGAAUCAUAAAAAUAUGAAACUUAAGCUGAAGUGUCCCCCCACCACCACCCCUUGAUAUCUGAAUAAAGCACCUGCUUACA